Molecule: unclassified non-coding RNA, 380 nt
Filed under: soil metagenome
Description: partial contains 5.8S ribosomal RNA, internal transcribed spacer 2, and large subunit ribosomal RNA
Rfam family: 5.8S ribosomal RNA (bases 1-120)
Source: RNAcentral
GAUGAAGAACGUAGCGAAAUGCGAUAAGUAAUGUGAAUUGCAGAAUUCAGUGAAUCAUCGAAUCUUUGAACGCACCUUGCACCCUUUGGCAUUCUGAAGGGUAUGCUCGUUUGAGUGUCAUUGUACUCUCACACUCCCGAUCUUUGCAUUGGGAGCAGUGGACUUGGGUUUGCUGCUUCACCGUCGCUUACCUCAAAUAGGUUAGUGCAACUCUUGGUUGGACAUAGUACGGCGUGAUAAGUGUUCUUCGCCGGUGCCUCGCAAAGAGGGUGGCCGAUCGGGAUGUUGUGCUCCAAACCGUCUUCGGACAAUCUCUGACGACUUGACCUCAAAUCGAGUAAGACUACCCGCUGAACUUAAGCAUAUCAAUAAGCGGAGGC